Molecule: long non-coding RNA, 955 nt
Filed under: Monodelphis domestica (gray short-tailed opossum)
Lineage: Eukaryota; Metazoa; Chordata; Mammalia; Didelphimorphia; Didelphidae
Description: lncRNA (ENSMODG00000032139.2)
Source: RNAcentral
CAGAAAAUAGAGGAACAAGCUCGGAAACAAGGUGUCCAGGGGAAGCUGAAGGCAGUAUGGCUUAGAGGAUGGACUGCUGCUGCCUCUGGUGCUUGGAAGAUGUGGGCGCCCAACAAGCCCAGACAGUCAUUUGCUGCAUGACCAUGGACCAUGGGCCAAUCCCUUCCCUUGUUUCUCCUCAGUUUCGUGCCCGAGGCCUCACCUCCUCCUUACUGGGGGCCUGGAAUGAGAUCAGCGAAGAAAGCCGUUGGCAGACUUCAGCCUGCGGGAUCAGACGCCCCUCCAAAGCAGGGACUGCUUGUCCUCAUCCCUCCGCACUGGAGUCCGUCAGGACGGACAACCCAAGGCCCGGAAAGAGGCAACCUCUUACUCCAACACUUUCCAGAAAUAGAUGUUGGUGCCUCAAGUGGAAUUCUCUUCAUGGUGAUUUGGGGAAGCUCAUCACAAGCUGAUCUAUAAGCCUUUCAGACUCACUUGGGAAAUGGAAGUGGAAAGCCCAGAUAGAGUCAAAACAAAUUCAGUCAAGAAGAAUGAUCUUUGGACUUGUAAAGAGAAGGAGAAAAAAUCUUGGUCGCCAGACUGUUGACAUCCCAGACAAAUGCUGAAGUCAUCAGAGUAUAUACCAAAUUGCCUUCCAUCAGUCAAUUAGUAAUGAGAGGCACUGGGCCAGAGGCCAGGUAUUAAAAGACAAAAAUGAAAAGUCUCCCCCUCAGUGGAUUUCUAUUCUAUAAAGGUGAGCAAUAUGGAUACAUAGGAGGUUAAAGGAAAUCUGGGGCUUAUCAGACACCUCCAUCUUUUUUAGCUGAAGCAACCUCUCCACAUGGACUCCAGGGAGUGGAUUCAAGGAGAAUUGUAAUGCUGUAUGAGGGCAGCACCUUUCAGGGACUGGGGAGUGUGGAAGAGGCAUGCAUGCAAAGGACAGAAGCUCUGUUUCAUGCUAGUGACUGAAUUGCCA